GGACAUCGUCACGCGUACAUAUCCAGCCCCCGUCGUUGAGGAGAAGGACGACGUUAUUGGGAUGACCUCCCCCAUUGAUACCGCAAUACCAUCUCAUCAGUCACAUGAGUAGUCGACAAGAUGGGGCACCGGUUAACCCUUCGGUGACUUCACCGAUCCGAUCUGCGGUUUUCGUCUUGAAGGCCAACCGAUUGGAUCUCCUAUAGUUGUAGAUCGUCCACUGGAGGGACUCGACAUUGAUAUAUCAUCGAUCGAGGGUUAUCUCUAAACACCUUUCCCAGAAGUUCAGGACGAGCGACUAUGGUUACUUGCUGAUAUCCCGAGCUCGACCAAAAAGCUUGUA
Long non-coding RNA from Mangifera indica (mango), 343 nucleotides. RefSeq lists it as uncharacterized. The record is from RefSeq and is a predicted model, not a curated record. The transcript is spliced from 6 exons. NCBI's taxonomy places the organism in Eukaryota, Viridiplantae, Streptophyta, Magnoliopsida, Sapindales, Anacardiaceae.